RNAcentral lists this ribosomal RNA (508 nucleotides) under uncultured bacterium. RNAcentral describes it as "partial 16S ribosomal RNA". It matches the Rfam family "Bacterial small subunit ribosomal RNA", at positions 28 to 507 of the family's 1533-position model. The record is from RNAcentral.
GACGAACGCUGGCGGCGUGCCUAAUACAUGCAAGUCGAACGCUUCUUUCCUCCCGAGUGCUUGCACUCAAUUGGAAAGCGGAGUGGCGGACGGGUGAGUAACACGUGGGUAACCUACCCAUCAGAGGGGGAUAACACUUGGAAACAGGUGCUAAUACCGCAUAACAGUUUAUGCCGCAUGGCAUAAGAGUGAAAGGCGCUUUCGGGUGUCGCUGAUGGAUGGACCCGCGGUGCAUUAGCUAGUUGGUGAGGUAACGGCUCACCAAGGCCACGAUGCAUAGCCGACCUGAGAGGGUGAUCGGCCACACUGGGACUGAGGCACGGCCCAGACUCCUACGGGAGGCAGCAGUAGGGAAUCUUCGGCAAUGGACGAAAGUCUGACCGAGCAACGCCGCGUGAGUGAAGAAGGUUUUCGGAUCGUAAAACUCUGUUGUUAGAGAAGAACAAGGACGUUAGUAACUGAACGUCCCCUGACGGUAUCUAACCAGAAAGCCACGGCUAACUACGUG